This 607-nucleotide ribosomal RNA is filed under the name uncultured bacterium. RNAcentral describes it as "bacterial SSU rRNA". It matches the Rfam family "Bacterial small subunit ribosomal RNA", at positions 379 to 974 of the family's 1533-position model. The record is from RNAcentral.
AAGGCUGACGCUGCCACGUCGCGUGGAGGAUGAAGGUCUUAAGAUCGUAAACUCCUUUUAUCUACGAACAAGUUCUGAGUGUAUGUAGAUGAAUAAGUGCCUGCCAACCACGUGCCAGAAGCAUCGGUAAUACGUGGGACACAAGCGUUACCCGGAUUCACUGGGCGUAAAGAGAUGCGUAGGCGUCUAGAAAAGUUCUGUGUUAAAUCCCAAGGCUCACCCUUGGAACCGCAUAGAAAACUCUCUGGAUUGAGUCAUGUAUAGAAUAGGGGAAUUCCUGGUGGAGCGGUUAAAUGCGUUGAUAUCAGGAGGAACACCAAUGGCGAAAGCACCUAUUUGGACAUGUACUGACGCUAAGGCUCGAAAGUGUGGGGAGCAAAACGGAUUAGAUACCCGUGUAGUCCACACCGUAAACGAUCCCUGUUAGAUGUUCGAAAUUUGCUGAAAUUUCUCUUCGGAGAAGAUAAGCACUUUUUGAGUGUCGCAGCUACGCGUUAAACAGGCGCCUGUGAAGUACGACCGCCAGGUUAAAACACAAAGAAUUGACGGGACCCGCACAAGCCAGUGGAGUGCCUGGUUUAAUUCCAUGAUCAACGAAGAACCUCAC